CCUACGGGAGGCAGCAGUGGGGAAUAUUGCACAAUGGGGGAAACCCUGAUGCAGCGACGCCGCGUGAGUGAAGAAGUAUCUCGGUACGUAAAGCUCUAUCAGCAGGGAAGAAAAUGACGGUACCUGACUAAGAAGCCCCGGCAAACUACGUGCCAGAAGCCGCGGUAAUGCGGAGGAUGCGAUGGUUAUCCGGAUUUAUUGGGUUUAAAGGGUGCGUAGGCGGACUGUUAAGGCAGUGGUAAAAUCCCGGGGCUAAACCUCGGAGAGCCGUUGAAACUGGCUGUCUUGAGUUGACGAGAGGUAUGCGGAAUGCGCAGUGUAGCGGUGAAAUGCUUAGAUAUUGCGCAGAACUCCGAUUGCGAAGGCAGCAUAC
RNAcentral lists this ribosomal RNA (373 nucleotides) under uncultured bacterium. Its description in RNAcentral is "partial 16S ribosomal RNA". It matches the Rfam family "Bacterial small subunit ribosomal RNA", at positions 338 to 729 of the family's 1533-position model. The record is from RNAcentral.